CCUACGGGAGGCAGCAGUGAGGAAUAUUGGUCAAUGGGCGCGAGCCUGAACCAGCCAAGUAGCGUGAAGGAUGACUGCCCUACGGGUUGUAAACUUCUUUUAUAAGGGGAUAAAGUGCGCCACGUGUGACGUUUUGUAUGUACCGCAUGAAUAAGGACCGGCUAAAUCCGUGCCAGCAGCCGCGGUAAUACGGAGGGUCCGGGCGUUAUCCGGAUUUAUUGGGUUUAAAGGGAGCGUUGGUCGGAUGUUAAGCGUGGUGUGAAAGUUUGCGGCUCAACCAUCGCACUGCGAUUGAAACUGGCGUGCUUGAGUGCACGGGACGUAGGCGGAAUUCGUGGUGUAGCGGUGAAAUGCUUAGAUAUCACGAAGAACUCCGAUUGCGAAGGCAGCCUACGGAAGCGCUACUGACGCUGAAGCUCGAAGGCGUGGGUAUCAAACAGGAUUAGAUACCCCAGUAGUC
Molecule: ribosomal RNA, 460 nt
Filed under: uncultured bacterium
Lineage: Bacteria
Description: partial 16S ribosomal RNA
Rfam family: Bacterial small subunit ribosomal RNA
Source: RNAcentral